RNAcentral lists this transfer-messenger RNA (349 nucleotides) under Selenomonadaceae. RNAcentral's name for it is "RUG12372 sp902777615 Standard tmRNA". It matches the Rfam family "transfer-messenger RNA". Rfam says of the family: Bacterial tmRNA, also known as 10Sa RNA or SsrA, is named for its dual tRNA and mRNA-like properties. Its role is to liberate the mRNA from a stalled ribosome. To accomplish this part of the tmRNA is used as a reading frame that ends in a translation stop signal. Lineage: Bacteria; Bacillati; Bacillota; Negativicutes; Selenomonadales. The record is from RNAcentral. RNAcentral also lists the same sequence under 1 other name.
GGGGAUGUAAAGGUUUCGACGGGGGUAGUUGGUGCAUAGGUAGCGAGCCGGGGGGUCACCAUCCCGUCAGUAAGGUGAAACUUUUAUUAAAUAUAAAAGCUAACGAAGACUACGCUUUGGCGGCUUAACGCCAACCUCUUCCCAUUCGCUCCCGCACGGGCGGGAAAGAGGCAAGCUGCGGGAUACCGGGGGACGGCCUCCCUUAAAUCUUCCGGGAAAUUUUUAGGGAUCGGAGCUUUUGAGCCCGCUCAUGGGCGCCUGAGUUCUUAAAGCAAAUCGUGAGCUUCGCUCGGAGAAACCUGUGAAACAAUGCUUUCGGACAGGAGUUCGAUUCUCCUCAUCUCCACCA